Molecule: long non-coding RNA, 426 nt
Organism: Oxyura jamaicensis (ruddy duck)
Lineage: Eukaryota; Metazoa; Chordata; Aves; Anseriformes; Anatidae
Exons: 3
Source: RefSeq, a predicted model, not a curated record
AAUUGGAAAAGCUUAUAAUCAGAUGUUUCUCUGCAGAGGGUGUGGCCAGCUUCUCAAAGGGAUGUGCUAUAUUUGUCUGCCAUCAGAAAGAUAACAGCAUUCAGUGAAAAUGAUCCUGAAACGUGGAUUGUGUGUAAUUUCUCUGUAGAACAUGACAGUGCUCCUCUGAACAAUCGCUGUAUCCGUGCCAAAAUAAAUAUCGCUAUGAUUUGUCAAACACUAGUAAGCCCACCAGAGGGGAACAAGGAAAUAAGCAGGGACAAUAUCCUGUGCAAGAUUACAUAUGUAGCUAAUGUGAAUCCAGGAGGAUGGGCACCAGCAUCAGUGUUACGGGCAGUGGCAAAACGGGAAUAUCCCAAAUUCUUGAAGCGUUUUACAUCAUAUGUGCAAGAGAAAACAGCACGAAAGUCUAUUUUAUUCUAGUAU